CGUGGAUAUGCUAUCCUAUUGUCUUCUUGAUUUAGCAACAAUGCACACUUGUAACCCAGUUGCUAGACUUGCUGCAGAGUCUCUAUUUGCCAACCUUCGUUUCUUAGAUCUAUGGGGGUUUGUACGUUUGGUUUCUGGUAGGCAUCUUCAGGGUCUUUCAGCCUAUAUGGUUCAUGGAAGCGGACCCUCAAGGCUCGUGAAAUGCUGGUGAGCUCUAUUUAUUGCCCCUUCAGAGGUUACCAGUCAAGAGCUCUAUUUUUCUUUCCCAUGGGUCAUGGUUGCCUCUGUUUGUUUUGAUGGGUUCUUGUUUGAUUGAACAUGGAGGAGGAUCCUUGCAGGGAAAUCGCUUGGCUUGUUGUUGCUUUUUCAGCCUUGCAUGAUGUAGAUGGCUGGCCCUGGCACUUCAGGUUUUGCAUCAUCUCUCUUGAAGGAUAGGUGGCUACUUCUCCUUCUCUUGUUGGAUCCUUUGAUUGGAGUCUCCAACCAGCAUAAGCUAGGCUUAGUUUGUUGGUUUUUAUCCUUUUUAUCAUUAAGCCCAGAUUCUUUCUUAUUAAAACCCUUUGGCUUUGUGUGGC
This 575-nucleotide unclassified non-coding RNA is filed under the name Hevea brasiliensis (rubber tree). The record is from RNAcentral. Lineage: Eukaryota; Viridiplantae; Streptophyta; Magnoliopsida; Malpighiales; Euphorbiaceae.